CUUGACCGAGCCGAGCCACAGGGGGCGUUCGGCGUCGCGGUCCUGGCCGUAGGUGGCGAGGAGGGCCUGUGCCUC
RNAcentral lists this antisense RNA (75 nucleotides) under Streptomyces sp. NRRL WC-3753. Its description in RNAcentral is "ASpks sRNA". It matches the Rfam family "ASpks TB sRNA". Lineage: Bacteria; Bacillati; Actinomycetota; Actinomycetes; Kitasatosporales; Streptomycetaceae. The record is from RNAcentral.